Molecule: non-coding RNA, 7450 nt
Organism: Rattus norvegicus (Norway rat)
Lineage: Eukaryota; Metazoa; Chordata; Mammalia; Rodentia; Muridae
Source: RefSeq, a predicted model, not a curated record
CGGUGCUCUGCCCGGAGGAGGUGGAGAAAUCCAACGCCCUCCCCCGGAUCUCCGGCUUCCGGGACCAGGCUGACCAGCUACCAGUGCAGAGAUCAUCACAGGCCCCAAUCAUUCCUGGACAGCUGGACCCUCUCCCUGCGAGAUCCCCGGACAUUUUCUUCCUCAGCCCUGGGAGAAGAGCCUCUGGCUGAAUGGCAGCUGUGGAUGACUUGCAGUUUGAAGAAUUCGGUGAUGGAGCCACACUGCUAGCAGCAAACCCAGAUGCUACCACGAUAAACAUCGAGGACCCCAGUGUAUCUUUCAAACACCAGCCCAGACCUCCCGGGAGCUUGGGGAGAGAAGAGGAUGAGGAGCUGCUGGGAACCAAUGACUCUGAUGAGACCGAGUUACUUGCCGGUCAGAAGAAAAGCUCUCCCUUCUGGACAUUCGAAUACUAUCAGACGUUCUUUGAUGUGGACACUUACCAGGUCUUUGACAGAAUAAAAGGGUCUCUGCUGCCGGUUCCUGGAAAGAACUUCGUGAGGCUGUACAUCCGCAGUAACCCAGACCUCUAUGGCCCCUUUUGGAUAUGUGCCACUUUGGUCUUUGCCAUCGCAAUCAGUGGGAACCUUUCUAACUUCCUAAUCCAUCUGGGAGAGAAGACAUACCAUUAUGUGCCUGAAUUCCAGAAAGUGUCCAUCGCGGCGACUGUCAUCUACGCCUACGCCUGGCUGGUCCCCCUGGCCCUCUGGGGCUUCCUCCUGUGGAGAAACAGCAAAGUGAUGAACAUCGUUUCCUAUUCAUUUCUGGAGAUUGUGUGUGUCUACGGCUACUCGCUCUUCAUUUAUAUCCCCACAGCAGUACUGUGGAUCAUUCCCCAGAGAGUCAUUCGCUGGGUCCUUGUCACGAUUGCCCUGGGCAUCUCAGGGUCUGUGUUGGCAAUGACAUUUUGGCCAGCUGUUCGUGAGGAUAACCGGCGUGUUGCCUUGGCCACCAUUGUGACAAUCAUGUUGCUUCAUGUGCUGCUCUCUGUGGGCUGCUUGGCUUACUUCUUUGACGCUCCAGAGAUGGACCAUCUCCCAGCAGCUAUAACCACUCCCAACCAGACAGUAGCAGCGGCCAAAUCCAGCUAAUAGGGAAAGCAGGUCGUGGUAUGUCACAAAUGGGAAGGGUGUAUCAGUUCUGUAUUAGCACCGGGGACCAAAGGCUAGACCCUGUGUCUUUCUGCACAGCAUUCCUACUGCUGGAAGUUCAUUCCAGCUCCACGCGCCUCUCCCCUUAUAGAGUGGAGAAGUGCAAGCCUCUAGAUGCUGGGGUAGCAGGAACCCUGCUCUGGUCAUCACACCCAACCUCUCCAUUCCCACUGCGUUGUCCAGUGGCACAGAAGGGUUUCUACCAUCUCCUAACUGUCCCAGUGAUUUUUCUGCAUUCUGCAAUGUCCCAGGCUGGUCUCUGAAACCCAUGUUGCCCUCUCUAAAGGACCCCUGUAUUUCUCCAAAGGCUUCUGAGAUUAUUUCUCUGUGAAUAGUUAGCUGAGCAGGUUAGAGUGCGAGAAAAAGAUCCAGCUUCAAAACUUAUCCCUCGCCCUCCUGUUCUACUUUCUUAGUGGUUUUUAUUUAUUUAUUUAUUUAUUUGGUUGACGAGUUCUCAUGUAGCCCAGGCUAGCCUCCAAUUCACUAUGUACUGAGGAUGACCUUGAACUUGAACUUCUGUACUUCAUACUUCUGCCUCUGGGUCUCAAAUGCUGGUGUUACAGGUAGGUGUGUGUCAUCAUGUCCAGUAUGCCUUUUUCCCCUUUCCCUGUGGGUGAGAGCCAAACCUGACCCCAGGGCCUUGUAUAGGCUAAGCAAGUACUCAUCAUACACACCAUGACGAAGUGUGUCAGGGAUGGGCACUUACUGAUUACGAUACAGUUUCUCAUGCCAAGCAUAUCUGGGUCUACACCUAGGUUUUACUUUUACAUGAGGGAAGGGGUACGGAGGGCUGAGUGUGGACAUGCAGGGUUCUGUCUGUUUCUUAAAUUUAGCAUUUUGUUGGCCUUUUUCAUGUUUAGCGACUUUUCUAUCCAGCACCACUCUGCCUUGUUCCAGAUGACAAAACAAGAUGGCAGAGUUCCCAGUUUGUUUUUACUCCCUACUGGAGAGUUAGAGGUAAACGUAUUAUCAGGGCUGUUUUCACACUUUCUGAAGGGAAUUAAAUCUUCAGUCGAGAUGAACAUUUGAAAGAUAUCAAAGGGGGCUGGAGAGAUGGCUCAGUGGUUAAAGAGCUCUUCCAGAGGUCCUGAGUUCAAAUCCCAGCAACCAUAUGGUGGCUCACAGCCAUCUGUAAUGAGAUCUGGUGCCCUCUUCUGGUGUGUCUGAAGACAGCUACAGUGUACUUAUAUAUAAUAAAUAAAUAAAUAAAUCUUAAAAAAAAAAGAAAGAUAUCAAAAAGAAAAGAUAAGGCUAUAGUUGGCACCUUCUAAUCCUCUAAGUGCCUGGCCCUUCAUGCAGGGCAGGGGAGGCUUCUUUGUGUAGCACCAGCGCGGGUACUGACCGCAGCAUAGGGCUAUCUGUCAUGACUGUUCUCGCCUAGACUCCCUUGCCACCUCGGGGCCACUGUUCUCAGACCAAGACCUGGUCCUCCCUCACAUAGAUUGAGGCACACUACAUCCAGCAACCACCCAAGACCACUCAGGGAUGACGGGAGCAUGGGAGUCCCCCAAAGUUUGUGUCCCCUCACAGGUUCUGGGUCAUCUCUGUUCCUAUGCUCACAUUUGUCUGAUGCUAUUGCUGGAGUGUACAUACUGGUGACCCUGACACUCUCUGUACUGUGUGUACUCUGCUCCUGUGCUCAGAACAUGUCUGUCUGCCUGUUCGUUAAUAUGUUAAUAUGUUCAGUCAUUUAGCCCUCCAUUUGUCCUCUGUGACUCCCUGGUUGGCAUCAGCUCUUUGAGGACAAGGGUGGAUUUCUUUGUUGGUUGUAUAACCAGGUAUACAGUGAGUGCUCAGUAAAUGUUUGUACGCUCGAGCUCACUGUGGGACAAGAGUCUUUACUCGCUGUCCUGUCUCCCAGGGCAAAGGGGAUGUGCAACCACCAGCUGGUUAGUGGCUAGAUAGGAGAGGAAUGCAAGCUUGCUCCUACCUUGUACUUACAAGGUGUAUUUGAGCCAUAGGUGACUUAUCUAUAACAUAAGGACACAGCCCAUAUGAGAAGACUGUUGUGACUCUUAGAGACAGUGGCAAGUAGGCCCUGUGUGGUAAUGUGAAAGCCACUGUCCCACUGACAGCGGCUGCUCAUUUAUAUUGAAAUGUGGUCGUCUCCCAUUGACUGCUUUGAUAAUUUAGUUCCCUUUUGUAAAGUGUGGGCGAAUUUUCUUUUUUCACUGAGGAAUUCCAGUUGUAAGCCCUUCAAGUUAAUAAGAUGUGAUCAUUAAAGGAGCCUCCUAUGACCUUGGGAAUGGUUCCCUGAGUGACACUGUCCUUUCUUCUCAAGGAUAUGCAGUUUAGAACUAAAGGCGGCCAGAAGAGAAUGGGUCUUCUUCAUCAUCUAUGUGAAUGGAGCCAUGGCCAAAAGAGUAUAGAGUUCCUUACUCACAGCCACCUAAGUUUGGUGGCAGACACACGCCUGUCACACGCUAAUGCACAGAACGAACACUCCCCAGCUCCCUCUCAAGCCGUCUCUUCCCAGCCUGGCCCACCUGCUUGAGGAGGGUGACUGUGUGGUUUGUGGUCACCUGCUGCCGAGAAGCAGAACAGAGCCUUGACACAGGUCUUAGAGAGUCCGCCUCCAAGUUUGCCCAUGCCCUGGGCCACACGCUGCCAUUCAGAAUUUUGUGGCACCUGCUUCUUGACUAUAUGUUGUGCUCAUGUUGAGUCUGACCCUGUGUCUGUUGUUCUCCCCCCAGUUUCUGUGGGCUGGGGAAUCCAGGCGUAGCUUCCCAGGCUUCCUCCUGCCUUCAGGUCCUCUUCCAAGGCUGUGGCUUUGCGCAGGCUGGAGCUGGGGCUCAUCUAAGGCCAGACUUGGGGAAGAAUUUCUUUACCUCUAGGACCAUUGGUAGGGUUCAGUUCCUUGUGGCUGAUGAGAACGAGGGAGGCUUGCAAGCUGUUGUCAGCUCCCUGUCCUAUAGUUCCCUUCAUAUGGUUGCAUACUUCAGCAAAGCCAGAAGUGGGCGAAGGGUCAACAAGAGACUGUUAGCAAGGUGGAAGUCACUGUCUUACAUAGCAUAGACCUGAAAGUGAGCCUUUCCUGUGCUUUACUCUGUUGGUUAGAAGCAAGUCAUAGGUCAAGCCCACACUGACGUGGGGAGGGAGUUAGCUAUACGAGAGCCUGAGACUGCAAGUCAGUGAUACACUUUACACAUUUGCACAUACUCUUGUCAAUCCUUAUGGUAACUAUUGAAACAAGUUUCUGUGGAAAAGCAAAUGGAAGUUCUAGUAUUUUCCUUUCACUUCAUCAGUGGGUUCUUGUGGCUCCCUUAGCAUGGACCUGCCUCAUGUAACUCAUUCUGCAGAUGAACUCCUCUGAUGUUGAUGGAGACAGCCUUGCAGGGCAGAACCUGUCCUUAGGCCAAAGUUCUUGGGGAUGGGACAGAGUCUUAUUUGAUGUGGCCUCUGUAGUAGCAGGCCUGGGGCCUGGCUGGCAUGAGCAGCACAGAUGAGCAGUGCAUGCCGGGAGGGUUAACCAGCCUUUGUGAGGUGAGGGCGUACAUAAAUGAGGGCACACAGGGAAGGUGGUUUCUACACUGAAUGCAGACCUUCACUGCCUCUGCCCUCACUGGGGCAGUUUGAUGAGACCGAGACCUAGAAAGCCUGGUCUGGCCUCUGCCUCAAGUAGCCUAGGUCUGAUAGGUUGGUCUAGCCUAUGUGGUGUGAGAGUCGUUUCUGAAGUGGGUUGUCAGCUGAGCCCUAUAGGGUACAGGAGGCAGUGAUUCGGGCUUCACAGGAGGGUCUGGUUUGAAUUGGGUUCUGAUCAUGAGUACAAGCAACUAGUUACUCAGUUCUGAAAGAGCUGUCCAAGUCUCACAGCUUGGGGAAGGGGACGAUCUGGGCCGUUCAGUGGGACACAGUGGGACUUCAGAGGCAAGCAUCCCUGAGAAGAAGACACCGAGUCCAGCUAGAGAAGGACAGAGCGAACACAGGCAGCCACUGUCUGUCCCCUUGGCCUGACCGCCCACAUCAAGCUCAUGAGGGCUCCAUUGACUGCUGAGCAGGGCCCUAAGCAUUUCAGUCUGAAGGAGCAGGAUGCACUUCUCCUGAUGCUGUCACCCUCCAGACAGUUGGGGCAGGGUCUGGGAAGAGAUUUCCAAUCUGGUCUGCACAGAGCUGGCACCUCUGGGCUGUGCACAGAUCCGUGAGCUGGGGUGGCUCCAUUUAGGUGUCAGGCUUCCAAAUGAGAUAGUGAUGAACAGCCUCUUUGCAGCCUCCCCGGCAGAGCAUCCAUCGCUUUGCCAAUAAGAGGGCCUGCUCAGAGGCCUGGGCACUGCGGAUUUAUGAGCUGGCUAUGCCUUCUCCUGUAAGCUCUGGGCUCCCAGCUUUCACUGAAGAAAAAUGGAUUCGAAUCUCAACAGUAACCUCCCCUGCAUAAAUCUGUGCAGGAGAACGGCUCAGCCGGAAUAGGUUCCUGUGAGAACAUUAACCUCUCCUCUCCCGGGAGCACUGGUCUCCUAGGGGAGCCUCUAAUUACUGGUAAGCAGGAAGCUGCCCCAGAAUAAGUCACUGAAGCAGGGAACAGAGGGUCUUCCAUCUGUCCUUUCUUGUGCACUACCUUAUCACCUGGGCUCAGGGCUGCUUUUCCUGCGUCAGGACCCUGGGAAGGUCCAGAAGCCGUGUGGGAAGGUCUGCUUUGGCUUGUGGGAUUGUAUGAAAGACCACAUCCAGGCUGGGGCACCUUCCCAUCCACAGUGACAAGUAUGAACGCACAGAGGACAGCAGUUAGCACACAGUUCAGACUGCACUGUGAUGAGGGCUUUCAUAAGAUAUACACAUAUGCCUACAUACAUGCAUGUUCAAAAAGAAUAAAAAGUAGUAAGUGCUCAUGGCAUGGGGGAGAGGAAGGACGGCAGCUUAUGAACACACAUGUUCAGUCAGGAGGGUUUUCAAUACGAAGGCCUCUCCAGAAAUCCUUUGUUCAUCUAUGUAUCUGUGAGUGUGUAUGUGUGUGUGUGUGUGUGUGUGUGUGUGUGAGUGUGUGUGUGAGUGUGUGUGAGUGUGUGAGUAAGUGUGUGUAUGUGUGUGUGAGUGUGUGUAAGUGUGUGUGUGUGAGUGUGUGUGAGUGUGUGUGAGAUGGCAAGUGUGAGAGGCCAGAGGACAUCCCGAGGGAGUCGCUUCUCUCCUUCUACCAUGUGGUUUGGAAAUUGAACUGAUAAAGACAACCAGUUCCGUUGUCCUCGGAGCCAUCUUGUUGGCCCAAGAGUUCUUAUUUCCUAAGUUAAAGUACAAACCAUCUCCCCAGGUUUCUGUACAUUAGUUCUUUUAUUAUGAAAUCAGCUUUGACUUUGUACUGUAAGCUGUCUCCCUCCCAUUUUUAAAAAUAUGGUGUGUAUGUGUUGGCAUGUGCCUUUAAUCAAAGCAUUUAGGGGGCAGAGGCAGCCAGAUAUCUGUGGGUUCAAGACCAGCAUGGUCUAUGUAGCAAGUUCCAUGCCAGGUAGAACUACAUAGCAAGACCCUCUCUUGAAAAUAAAUUACUAUUCUACACUAUUUUAAUUAAUUCCUUAAGAAUGUGUACAUUUAUACAGUGUGCUUUGGUCACUUUCACCCUUCGCUGCUUCUCCUAGCCCCCCUCAGGUCUACUCUGCAUGAAUCUCCCAUUAUCUCCCAGCCUGUAUGGUUGGUUUCACCCCCUCACCCUCACUGUAUCCUGUCCUUUUCAUACCAGACAUGUUAGUGGUGGCUUGCUGGAAAACGUCUUCCCAGUCUCUGGACUGCUGCUUUCUCAGUUUUGUUCUCCAGUCCCUCUUUGAGGUAGACUGGAGGACCUGGGAUGCUAACUGGGUCAGCACAAUCAUUUUCUUUUUGACAGUAGAAAGUUUUGACUGAGAGGUUGAACAGGUAGCUGUGGACCUCCAGCCUGACAGGGCAGUUACUGUCUUGAAGUCAGACAGUUGUAAUCAUCUGCACUCACAAGACCCUCAUAAGGUUGGACUGGCUAACAUUCCCAUGUGGAGAAGGGGUGGGACUCACAAGCUCUACCCUUCACCAAGAGUAUCUAACCAACCAACAGUGGCUCACAGAAGAGGCUCCUUCCAUGGUACAACUGGCUGUCCGCUGCCCACAUUUCUCCAGAUAACUGUUGGGAAGGUGCGGCUCUUCUGGACACAGCAUCCACUGUUGGAAAGCAGAAGGCCAGCAUCAGCAGGAAACCAAUUGUCAUCGCACUGAAGCCUCAUCACCUAUUAACAAGAAUUAAUUGUUAGUCUGGGGUGUCAGGCACGUGAUGGAACACUUGCCUCACAUACAUGAGGCCCUGAAAGUAAAAUGCACUGAUGAUGCUU